This 1436-nucleotide ribosomal RNA is filed under the name uncultured organism. Its description in RNAcentral is "16S ribosomal RNA". It matches the Rfam family "Bacterial small subunit ribosomal RNA". The record is from RNAcentral.
GACGAACGCUGGCGGCGUGCUUAACACAUGCAAGUCGAACGGAAAGGCCCUGCUUUUGUGGGGUGCUCGAGUGGCGAACGGGUGAGUAACACGUGAGUAACCUGCCCUUGACUUUGGGAUAACUUCAGGAAACUGGGGCUAAUACCGGAUAGGAGCUCCUGCUGCAUGGUGGGGGUUGGAAAGUUUCGGCGGUUGGGGAUGGACUCGCGGCUUAUCGGCUUGUUGGUGGGGUAGUGGCUUACCAAGGCUUUGACGGGUAGCCGGCCUGAGAGGGUGACCGGCCACAUUGGGACUGAGAUACGGCCCAGACUCCUACGGGGGGCAGCAGUGGGGAAUAUUGCACAAUGGGCGGAAGCCUGAUGCAGCAACGCCGCGUGCGGGAUGACGGCCUUCGGGUUGUAAACCGCUUUCGCCUGUGACGAAGCGUGAGUGACGGUAAUGGGUAAAGAAGCACCGGCUAACUACGUGCCAGCAGCCGCGGUGAUACGUAGGGUGCGAGCGUUGUCCGGAUUUAUUGGGCGUAAAGGGCUCGUAGGUGGUUGAUCGCGUCGGAAGUGUAAUCUUGGGGCUUAACCCUGAGCGUGCUUUCGAUACGGGUUGACUUGAGGAAGGUAGGGGAGAAUGGAAUUCCUGGUGGAGCGGUGGAAUGCGCAGAUAUCAGGAGGAACACCAGUGGCGAAGGCGGUUCUCUGGGCCUUUCCUGACGCUGAGGAGGGAAAGCGUGGGGAGCGAACAGGCUUAGAUACCCUGGUAGUCCACGCUGUAAACGGUGGGUACUAGGUGUGGGGUCCAUUCCACGGGUUCCGUGCCGUAGCUAACGCUUUAAGUACCCCGCCUGGGGAGUACGGCCGCAAGGCUAAAACUCAAAGGAAUUGACGGGGCCCCGCACAAGCGGCGGAGCAUGCGGAUUAAUUCGAUGCAACGCGUAGAACCUUACCUGGGUUUGACAUGGAUCGGGAGUGCUCAGAGAUGGGUGUGCCUCUUUUGGGGUCGGUUCACAGGUGGUGCAUGGCUGUCGUCAGCUCGUGUCGUGAGAUGUUGGGUUAAGUCCCGCAACGAGCGCAACCCUUGUUCACUGUUGCCAGCACGUUAUGGUGGGGACUCAGUGGAGACCGCCGGGGUCAACUCGGAGGAAGGUGGGGAUGACGUCAAGUCAUCAUGCCCCUUAUGUCCAGGGCUUCACGCAUGCUACAAUGGCUGGUACAGAGAGUGGCGAGCCUGUGAGGGUGAGCGAAUCUCGGAAAGCCGGUCUCAGUUCGGAUUGGGGUCUGCAACUCGACCUCAUGAAGUCGGAGUCGCUAGUAAUCGCAGAUCAGCAACGCUGCGGUGAAUACGUUCCCGGGGCUUGUACACACCGCCCGUCAAGUCAUGAAAGUUGGUAACACCCGAAGCCGGUGGCCUAACCGUUGUGGGGGAGCCGUCGAAGGUGGGACUGG